RNAcentral lists this ribosomal RNA (433 nucleotides) under uncultured bacterium. Its description in RNAcentral is "partial 16S ribosomal RNA". It matches the Rfam family "Bacterial small subunit ribosomal RNA", at positions 29 to 507 of the family's 1533-position model. The record is from RNAcentral.
AACGAACGCUGGCGGCAUGCCUAACACAUGCAAGUCGAACGAGACCUUCGGGUCUAGUGGCGCACGGGUGCGUAACGCGUGGGAACCUGCCCUUAGGUUCGGAAUAACUCCCCGAAAGGGGUGCUAAUACCGGAUAAUGUCUUCGGACCAAAGAUUUAUCGCCUUUGGAUGGGCCCGCGUUGGAUUAGCUAGUUGGUAGGGUAAAAGCCUACCAAGGCGACGAUCCAUAGCUGGUCUGAGAGGAUGAUCAGCCACACUGGGACUGAGACACGGCCCAGACUCCUACGGGAGGCAGCAGUGUGGAAUAUAGGACAAUGGGCGAUAGCCUGAUACAGCAAUGCCGCGUGAGUGAUGAAGGCCUUAGGGUUGUAAAGCUCUUUUACCCGGGAUGAUAAUGACAGUACCGGGAGAAGAAGCUCCGGCUAACUCCGUG